RNAcentral lists this ribosomal RNA (519 nucleotides) under uncultured Glomus. RNAcentral describes it as "SSU rRNA". It matches the Rfam family "Eukaryotic small subunit ribosomal RNA", at positions 569 to 1092 of the family's 1831-position model. The record is from RNAcentral. Lineage: Eukaryota; Fungi; Glomeromycota; Glomeromycetes; Glomerales; Glomeraceae.
AGCAGCCGCGGUAAUUCCAGCUCCAAUAGCGUAUAUUAAAGUUGUUGCAGUUAAAAAGCUCGUAGUUGAAUUUCGGGAUCAAUAUGUUGGUCGUGCCUUGGUACGUACUGGCAUUAUUGGUUUCUACCUUCUGAAGAACCUCGAUGUCAUUAAUUUGGUGUCUUGGGGAAUCAGGACUGUUACUUUGAAAAAUUAGAGUGUUUAAAGCAGGCUCGCGCUUGAAUACAUUAGCAUGGAAUAAUGAAAUAGGACGUUUGACUCUAUUUUGUUGGUUUCUAGGAUUGACGUAAUGAUUAAUAGGGAUAGUUGGGGGCAUUAGUAUUCAAUUGUCAGAGGUGAAAUUCUUGGAUUUAUUGAAGACUAACUACUGCGAAAGCAUUUGCCAAGGAUGUUUUCAUUAAUCAAGAACGAAAGUUAGGGGAUCGAAGACGAUCAGAUACCGUCGUAGUCUUAACCAUAAACUAUGCCGACUAGGGAUCGGAUGAUGUUAAUUUUUAAUGACUCACUCGGCGCCUUAAC